Molecule: ribosomal RNA, 301 nt
Filed under: uncultured bacterium
Lineage: Bacteria
Description: partial 16S ribosomal RNA
Rfam family: Bacterial small subunit ribosomal RNA
Source: RNAcentral
CAGUCGCCGCGGUAAUACGUAGGUCCCGAGCGUUGUCCGGAUUUAUUGGGCGUAAAGCGAGCGCAGGCGGUUAGAUAAGUCUGAAGUUAAAGGCUGUGGCUUAACCAUAGUACGCUUUGGAAACUGUUUAACUUGAGUGCAAGAGGGGAGAGUGGAAUUCCAUGUGUAGUGGUGAAAUGCGUAGAUAUAUGGAGGAACACCGGUGGCGAAAGCGGCUCUCUGGCUUGUAACUGACGCUGAGGCUCGAAAGCGUGGGGAGCAAACAGGAUUAGAUACCCCUGUAGUCCCUGUCUCUUAUACA